AACGAACGCUGGCGGCAUGCCUAACACAUGCGAGUCGAACGAGACCUUCGGGUCUAGUGGCGCACGGGUGCGUAACGCGUUGGAACCUUCCCUUAGGGUCGGAAUAACUCCCCGAAAGGGGUGCUAAUACCGGAUAAUGUCUUCGGACCAAAGAUUGAUCGCCUUUGGAUGGGCCCGCGUUGGAUUAGCUAGUUGGUAGGGUAAAAGCCUACCAAGGCGACGAUCCAUAGCUGGUCUGAGAGGAUGAUCAGCCACACUGGGACUGAGACACGGCCCAGACUCCUACGGGAGGCAGCAGUGGGGAAUAUCGGAAAAUGGGCGAAAGCCUGAUCCAGCAAUGCCGCGUGAGUGAUGAAGGCCUUAGGGUUGUAAAGCUUUUCUACCAGGGAUGAUAAUGACAGUACCGGGAGAAUAAGCGCCGGCUAACUCCGUG
RNAcentral lists this ribosomal RNA (433 nucleotides) under uncultured bacterium. Its description in RNAcentral is "partial 16S ribosomal RNA". It matches the Rfam family "Bacterial small subunit ribosomal RNA", at positions 29 to 507 of the family's 1533-position model. The record is from RNAcentral.